UUCCGAUCUUUAAGCUCGAUAGGGUCUUUUCGUCUGUUUAUCAAAAACAUCGCUCUUUGUGCCCACUAAAUAGAGAGUCGUGCCUGCCCAGUGAAUAUUUUUAACGGCCGCAGUACCCUGACUGUGCUAAGGUAGCAUAAUCACUUGCUUUUUAAUUGAAAGCUAGAAUGAAUGGCUUGACGUAAACACCCCUGUCUCUUUUACACUAUCUAAAAAUUAAUCUUUAGGUGAAGAAGCCUAAAUACUUUCAAAAGACGAAAAGACCCUAUCGAGCUUAAAAAAAAAANUAAACAAAAUUUUUAGAAAAACUAAAAUUAUAAUAAACUUUUGGUUGGGGCGACAGAAGAACAAAAAAAACUUCUUUUUAAAAAAAUAACAUAUUAGUUUUUUGAUCCACCACUAGUGAUUAAAAAAAAAGUUACCGUAGGGAUAACAGCGUAAUUUCUUCGGAGAGUUCAAAUUGAAAAAGAAGUUUGCGACCUCGAUGUUGGAUUAGAAAAUCUUUUUGGUGCAGCCGCUAUAAUAGAAGGUCUGUUCGACCUUUAAAUUUCUACAUGAUCUGAGUUCAAACCGGCGCAAGCCAGGUUGGUUUCUAUCUUUGAAAAUAAAUAUUAUGCUUUAGUACGAAAGGACCAAGCAGAACAAAAAUUUUGAUUGUU
RNAcentral lists this ribosomal RNA (659 nucleotides) under Nuttallochiton mirandus. Its description in RNAcentral is "partial 16S ribosomal RNA". It matches the Rfam family "Bacterial large subunit ribosomal RNA", at positions 1770 to 2718 of the family's 2925-position model. The record is from RNAcentral. Lineage: Eukaryota; Metazoa; Mollusca; Polyplacophora; Chitonida; Mopaliidae.